GACGAACGCUGGCGGCGUGCCUAAUACAUGCAAGUCGAACGCUUCUUUCCUCCCGAGUGCUUGCACUCAAUUGGAAAGAGGAGUGGCGGACGGGUGAGUAACACGUGGGUAACCUACCCAUCAGAGGGGGAUAACACUUGGAAACAGGUGCUAAUACCGCAUAACAGUUUAUGCCGCAUGGCAUAAGAGUGAAAGGCGCUUUCGGGUGUCGCUGAUGGAUGGACCCGCGGUGCAUUAGCUAGUUGGUGAGGUAACGGCUCACCAAGGCCACGAUGCAUAGCCGACCUGAGAGGGUGAUCGGCCACACUGGGACUGAGACACGGCCCAGACUCCUACGGGAGGCAGCAGUAGGGAAUCUUCGGCAAUGGACGAAAGUCUGACCGAGCAACGCCGCGUGAGUGAAGAAGGUUUUCGGAUCGUAAAACUCUGUUGUUAGAGAAGAACAAGGACGUUAGUAACUGAACGUCCCCUGACGGUAUCUAACCAGGAAGCCACGGCUAACUACGU
Molecule: ribosomal RNA, 507 nt
Filed under: uncultured bacterium
Lineage: Bacteria
Description: partial 16S ribosomal RNA
Rfam family: Bacterial small subunit ribosomal RNA
Source: RNAcentral